UACGUAGGAGGCGAGCGUUGUCCGGAAUUACUGGGCGUAAAGCGCGCGCAGGCGGCAGUCUAAGUCCUCUGUGAAAUCACCCGGCUCAACUGGGUGGCUGCGGAGGAGACUGGGCAGCUUGAGGGGCCUAGAGGCCGGUGGAACUCCCGGUGUAGUGGUGAAAUGCGUAGAGAUCGGGAAGAACACCAGUGGCGAAGGCGGCCGGCUGGGGGCGCCCUGACGCUGAGACGCGAAAGCGUGGGGAGCGAACAGG
RNAcentral lists this ribosomal RNA (253 nucleotides) under uncultured bacterium. Its description in RNAcentral is "partial 16S ribosomal RNA". It matches the Rfam family "Bacterial small subunit ribosomal RNA", at positions 524 to 776 of the family's 1533-position model. The record is from RNAcentral.